RNAcentral lists this long non-coding RNA (1607 nucleotides) under Linum usitatissimum (flax). RNAcentral's name for it is "long non-coding RNA (LUSI_LNC005427)". Lineage: Eukaryota; Viridiplantae; Streptophyta; Magnoliopsida; Malpighiales; Linaceae. The record is from RNAcentral.
UUUUGCUUCGAGGUCAUUGUCAUCCUUAAAAAUUUCUCUACAAUUUGGCGACGGGAAUGGUGAAUUGAUUGAUCUCUCUGCGAAAGAAGGGAAAUCCAUCACAGUGAGCCAAUCAUCAACCUUGGCAUUGGUAUAUGUUGAUUGGUCACUAGAUCUCAUAUCAAAAUGCAAUGCUAAGUUCUUUGAGAACUUGCCUGAAGUCUUCAAGUUUGGACCUGUGAGUAAGAAGGCUCGUAAUGAGCCCCUCUCCUUGUACACUUGUCUGGAAGCUUUCCUACGCGAGGAACCCUUGGUUCCUGAGGACAUGUGGUUAGUACCUUUCUUUCCUCUUGCUAGUUAAUACUCUAGUAUGGAAAGUAUAUGAGUCAUUUGCAAUGUAUAUUUUAAAAGGUACUGUCCACAAUGCAAAGAACGACGGCAAGCGAGUAAGAAGCUUGAUUUAUGGAGGCUUCCAGAGGUGCUGGUGAUCCAUUUGAAGCGGUUCUCAUACAGUAGAUCUAUGAAACACAAACUAGAAACCUUUGUUAACUUCCCAAUACGUGAUUUUGAUUUGACAAACUACGUGGGCAACAAGAACAGCACCCGUCGUCAACUCUAUGAACUAUAUGCCCUGACCAAUCAUUAUGGUGGCAUGGGAAGUGGGCAUUACACUGCGCACAUCAAGGUGAGAACAAAUUAGUAGUCUUUUUUAGUUUAUUGUAUCAUUUCCCUUGAUUUCCUCUGCUGUUCUGUUCCUAUUCUUGAAUCUUGAUUGUUGUCAAAUGUUUUUAGUAUUAUUAUGAUGCAUGUGUGUGAUGUCUGAAAAAUCGUGCAGCUUUUGGAAGAAAACAAAUGGUACAACUUCGACGACAGCCAUAUAUCGCUUAUUAACGAGGAUGAUGUCAAAUCAGCUGCUGCUUACGUUCUGUUUUACACACUUGCUUCUCCAGUUGACUCAUCGACGUAAACAGCAGUAUGUAACCAGUUAUAUCACUGAUUUCAUGCAUCAUUGAAUCCCUUUAUGCUUAGCUGGUUCUCACGUUACUAGUCUUGACAUAUAUUUCUGGUUCUCGUUGGUUAACAUGAUCGAUGAUCAGGGAAGCAGGAAAAAAUGGCUCGUCGCUUCAGUGGAAGGCAUUUGGAACUCCUGUCAUUACAUCCAUUUCGUACGAAGAUGUCCUCGCAGGAGAAGAUGUACAGAGAGAAGUUCAAAAGAUUCUUUUACCAUGGUUAAGCGGGGAAGCAACAGAGGAUUCUGGUAAUGGCACUCCUGAUGAAGUUUGUACCGAUCACGUAACAGAUUCAGUAAAGAGCAAUGGUUUUGCUUCCAAGUCAUUAUCAUCCUUAAAAAUUUCUCUACAAUUUGGCGACGGGAAUGGUGAAUUGAUUGAUCUCUCUGCGAAAGAAGGGAAAUCCAUCACAGUGAGCCAAUCAUCAACCUUGGCAUUGGUAUAUGUUGAUUGGUCACUAGAUCUCAUAUCAAAAUGCAAUGCUAAGUUCUUUGAGAACUUGCCUGAAGUCUUCAAGUUUGGACCUGUGAGUAAGAAGGCUCGUAAUGAGCCCCUCUCCUUGUACACUUGUCUGGAAGCUUUCCUACGCGAGGAACCCUUGGUUCCUGAGGACAUGUG